Molecule: ribosomal RNA, 443 nt
Filed under: uncultured bacterium
Lineage: Bacteria
Description: partial 16S ribosomal RNA
Rfam family: Bacterial small subunit ribosomal RNA
Source: RNAcentral
CCUACGGGUGGCAGCAGUGGGGGAUAUUGGUCAAUGGGCGAAACCCUGAUCCAGCCACGUCGCGUGAGUGAAGAAGUAUUUCGGUAUGUUAAGCUUUAUCUGCAGGGAAGAAAGAAAUGACGGUACCUGAGUAAGAAGCCUCGCCUAACUACGUGCCUGCAGUCGCGGCAUUACGUAGGGGGCAAGCGUUCUCCGGAAUUAAUGGGUGUAAAGGGAGCGUAGACGGUAAUGCAAGUCUGGAGUGAAAGGCGGGGGCCCAACCCCCGGACUGCUCUGGAAACUGUGUAACUGGAGUGCAGGAGAGGCAGGCGGAAUUCGUGGUGUAGCGGUGAAAUGCGUAGAUAUUAGGAGGAACACCAGUUGCGAAGGCGGCCUACUGGACUGUAACUGACGUUGAGGCUCGAAAGUGUGGGUAGCAAACAGGAUUAGAUACCCGUGUAGUC